RNAcentral lists this long non-coding RNA (2772 nucleotides) under Triticum aestivum (bread wheat). RNAcentral describes it as "long non-coding RNA (TAES_LNC017927)". The record is from RNAcentral. Lineage: Eukaryota; Viridiplantae; Streptophyta; Magnoliopsida; Poales; Poaceae.
AAAAGUUGGCGCAUUUGAGGAGCAGAGGCCCAAUGGGAUGCUUCCUUGAUGCAGUCAUCCCACUCCUUGUCGUCAUUAAGUAGCCCAAGAGCAUAACAUGCAGAUUUGUAUGUUGGAUGUACAACCCCAUCAACUGUUCGGAUUUCUUCAUAGGAUCUGUGUCCUUUCACGGUAUUUAGAAGCAUUCUCAAGUAGUAUUUUUCACCGCUUGUUGGUUGUGCAUAGUAAAUCCUGCCUAUGGUUUUUUUACCACCACGUCUUUUCCUCCAUUCUUUCUCUUUUGCAUGCCAAGUCCAUUUGGUUGGAAACCGUGCAUACGUCAAACUGCGAGCUUCCUCAUGCAAUUGGUUGGCUGUCAUCCAUUCUGUGAACAUUGUCUUUUCUAUGUUAGGCCGAGAUAUGAUUUUAUCUAAAUCCAUCGAGUCUGGGAAUACCACAACAUGUUUAUUUUCUAGGUGAAAUUGUAACCUUUCAACCGCAGGCUCUCUAUACUGAAGAGGAAACUGAAAUAUGCGCCAUGCGGCUUCACAUCCAGAUAUGUACCGAGCAUCAAGGUAUCUCUUGAUUUCGUCGUCCCUGUUUGUUAAUUUGCCACCUCUUGUUUCUCUUUGUUGCUCUUCUGUUUCUAUUAAUACUGUUGUUCGAUCUUCUCCUUUGUGGAUGUAUUUGAAUAAAUACUUUAUAGACCUUGAUCUUUUGCACCAUUCAACAUUUAUGUGGGCUUGAUACUUGACCAGUAUGUUUCUAUUGUAUGGCACAACAAAUCUAUUGUCUAGCUUCACUCCGUUUUUGUCCACAGUAUUGCCAUCAUCUCGUCUUCUAUAUACUGGAUAGUUAUCUUCAUCUAUUGUAGUUUCAGUGCAAAAACUCUUGGGGAAAUGUUUGGCACAACUUUUAUCGACCAUGCAUGGUGAUUUUGGGUGUGCUUGACCACAGGGACCAUGUAUCAUGUAAUUUUGCACUGCUUCAUACCCAUCUGGAUCACUAUUCUUGUCAGGAAUUUCGGCUGAUAUGAUUUUGUCGAUCUGGGAAGGACUGGGAUCUUUAUCAUCUGGAUGUAGAAACACCAGUAUAUGUGCAUGAGGGAGGCCUCUUUUUUGGAACUCUAUCGUGUAGACAACUGCAUGCAAGUAAAGAAAUAUGAGAAGAAAUGAUUUAGGACAAUCAUCUAGGCAAUAGUAAAUCUGUAGUUGGUUGGUAAACUUACUCGCAAUUGUUUGUCCGAAACACUUCUUGUUCUUUAUGUCAUUCAUAAGUUCCUUCAGUUUUAACAUGAAUACUCUGGCAACAAUGUCUGGACGAUCUUCAGGUUUCUGGCCUGGAAUCAGAUCCAGCAUAUCCUGUAUUUCCGGCCAUUUCGGAUUGCAUGUAAAAGUGAUGAAGAGAUCAGGAUAGCCAGCCCAACGACAAAUCGCCAUGGCAUCUUGGUAGUUUUGCUGCUUAUUUCUAGGGCUACCAUUAUAUGUUGAGGGUAGUAUGAUUCUUUGGCCAACUUGUUCAGUUCGUGUAUCUCCAUUUUCUAUUGCAUCAUGCAGUCCUCUGUAUAGUUCUGUCCUCAGCUUACCUUGGUUUGUCCUGUACCAAUUUAGUCUCCAUUGUUCAAUGCACGUUGCUGCAUCAACUAAGAACUGUAGGAACAAACGUCCACUCAUUUGCAAGGUUGUUGCUUGGUUAAGACGUUGUUGGAUGCGAUAUGCAUAAAACUCCAGCAUUGUUACAUACUUUCUCUUACCUUUGUCGCCUCUCUUUUUUUGAUACUCUAUUUCUGGUCUGAACCCAUCUUCUCCAUAUGGAAAAAGCAAGGGGUAUUGCAUUGACAUAUAGCUUGGGUGCAACUCUGAAAUCCUCUGUAACAUUCUGUCUUUGGUCUCAAUUAUUAUAUCAAAUUCAUUAUUUUCUCCAUCUUGUUCCCCGAUAAUUAGUGCUGCAACUUCUGAGGCAGAUGGGAGGUUGUAUUGCCGUCCAUCUUUCGACCUUUUGUUGAUCAAUCUUAGUCUUACAUCUUUAAUAUCUCGGUUUUCGAACCUGUCCCUUGCCAUACGAAACGAUUUGACUAAAACAUUGUGCUCAUCUAGCAUCUCUAGUAGACCUUUGACAAUGUUUUCAUCUGGCUUUGUCUUACUCUCCAUUGAAGUUGAUGCAGUAAUCCUGUUACGCACUUCAUUUUCUGUGUCAUGUAUGUACAAUUGGGCAAAUUUUGGUUUCGUCACGUCACCUUUAGGAAGUAAAGUGCCAAUCUGAUGGUAGUUUUGGCCAUUCAAACGGAAAACAUAUGGUCCAGGUGUCUGCUUAUUAAUUUCAUAGUCAACCUUUCCUCCCAUUGAAGUGAACGCGAACAUGGAGUUGUACAACCUGAUGUUCUGGCGAAAAUUGGAUGACUCUCCUCUUUCAUUGUAACGUAGUAGCUGUCGGAGAUACAACGGAGCUUGCUUCAGUGGUGGUAAUUUAAUUUUCCCUUCCUUGCAGCAGAGACCAAAUUUUGGAACUGUGAUGUUACGUGUGUUUGUGCUUCUCUCUCCAUGCCACAUAAUGGCAUUGCAAAAUUCACGAACGCAAUUUGGUUUCCCAAAUUUGAAACUUGAGUGACAUCCUUUGCUAUAUUUGAUACUUCACAGCCAUUAUUGUCCUUUUCUGUCCUUAUUCGUUUCCUUUCCCUUUUCAGCUGGAGUAUCUCUUUCCUUUUUCGUCUAGCUUCCUUCCUUGCUGCUCUGAUAAUAUCUGAUUGACUAUCAUUAGAUUCUACUGUCGCAAGCUGUGAGGUUCCUUGCUCAG